Molecule: long non-coding RNA, 217 nt
Filed under: Manihot esculenta (cassava)
Lineage: Eukaryota; Viridiplantae; Streptophyta; Magnoliopsida; Malpighiales; Euphorbiaceae
Description: long non-coding RNA (MESC_LNC001977)
Source: RNAcentral
GCGCCGCGGCUGCUGGUUUGAAGGCGAUCAGGGGUAGGUUGGGGCUCAUUGGUUUGGGGUUCUUCUACCACUGGGAGUGCGUUCACUGGGGUGCCAAGGCCCCUUUGCUACAUUAUCUGCCCCAACCAGUGGGUGGUGCUUUGUAGCUGGAAUGCGAUAGUUUGGAGGUCUUGGUUGGACAAGGCCACUGCGGGCGCGUUCCCUGUCAAGCUUGGCG